RNAcentral lists this ribosomal RNA (492 nucleotides) under uncultured bacterium. RNAcentral describes it as "partial 16S ribosomal RNA". It matches the Rfam family "Bacterial small subunit ribosomal RNA", at positions 29 to 507 of the family's 1533-position model. The record is from RNAcentral.
AGUGAACGCUGGCGGUAGGCCUAACACAUGCAAGUCGAACGGCAGCACAGUAAGAGCUUGCUCUUACGGGUGGCGAGUGGCGGACGGGUGAGGAAUACAUCGGAAUCUACUUUUUCGUGGGGGAUAACGUAGGGAAACUUACGCUAAUACCGCAUACGACCUACGGGUGAAAGCAGGGGAUCUUCGGACCUUGCGCGAUUGAAUGAGCCGAUGUCGGAUUAGCUAGUUGGCGGGGUAAAGGCCCACCAAGGCGACGAUCCGUAGCCGGUCUGAGAGGAUGAUCAGCCACACUGGAACUGAGACACGGUCCAGACUCCUACGGGAGGCAGCAGUGGGGAAUAUUGGACAAUGGGCGCAAGCCUGAUCCAGCCAUACCGCGUGGGUGAAGAAGGCCUUCGGGUUGUAAAGCCCUUUUGUUGGGAAAGAAAAGCAGCAGGUUAAUACCCCGCUGUUCCGACGGUACCCAAAGAAUAAGCACCGGCUAACUUCGUG